CCUAACACAUGCAAGUCGAACGGAGCUUAGAGAGCUUGCUUUUUAAGCUUAGUGGCGAACGGGUGAGUAACGCGUGAGUAACCUGCCCUAGAGUGGGGGACAACAGUUGGAAACGACUGCUAAUACCGCAUAAGCCCACGGUACCGCAUGGUACUGAGGGAAAAGGAUUUAUUCGCUUUAGGAUGGACUCGCGUCCAAUUAGCUAGUUGGUGAGGUAACGGCCCACCAAGGCGACGAUUGGUAGCCGGACUGAGAGGUUGAACGGCCACAUUGGGACUGAGACACGGCCCAGACUCCUACGGGAGGCAGCAGUGGGGGAUAUUGCACAAUGGGGGAAACCCUGAUGCAGCGACGCCGCGUGGAGGAAGAAGGUUUUCGGAUUGUAAACUCCUGUCGUUAGGGACGAUAAUGACGGUACCUAACAAGAAAGCACCGGCUAACUACGUGCCAGCAGCCGCGGUAAAACGUAGGGUGCAAGCGUUGUCCGGAAUUACUGGGUGUAAAGGGAGCGCAGGCGGGAAGACAAGUUGGAAGUGAAAACCAUGGGCUCAACCCAUGAAUUGCUUUCAAAACUGUUUUUCUUGAGUAGUGCAGAGGUAGAUGGAAUUCCCGGUGUAGCGGUGGAAUGCGUAGAUAUCGGGAGGAACACCAGUGGCGAAGGCGGUCUACUGGGCACCAACUGACGCUGAGGCUCGAAAGCAUGGGUAGCAAACAGGAUUAGAUACCCUGGUAGUCCAUGCCGUAAACGAUGAUUACUAGGUGUUGGGGGAUUGACCCCCUCAGUGCCGCAGUUAAAACAAUAAGUAAUCCACCUGGGGAGUACG
RNAcentral lists this ribosomal RNA (824 nucleotides) under uncultured Bacillota bacterium. Its description in RNAcentral is "bacterial SSU rRNA". It matches the Rfam family "Bacterial small subunit ribosomal RNA", at positions 47 to 884 of the family's 1533-position model. The record is from RNAcentral. Lineage: Bacteria; Bacillati; Bacillota.